CGGGGUGUGGCGCAGCUUGGUAGCGUAGCUGCUUUGGGAGCAGAAGGUCGGAAGUUCAAAUCUUCUCACCCCGACCA
Molecule: transfer RNA, 77 nt
Filed under: Bacteriovoracaceae bacterium
Lineage: Bacteria; Pseudomonadati; Bdellovibrionota; Bacteriovoracia; Bacteriovoracales; Bacteriovoracaceae
Description: tRNA-Pro
Rfam family: tRNA
About the family: Transfer RNA (tRNA) molecules are approximately 80 nucleotides in length. Their secondary structure includes four short double-helical elements and three loops (D, anti-codon, and T loops).
Source: RNAcentral